RNAcentral lists this long non-coding RNA (445 nucleotides) under Mytilus galloprovincialis (Mediterranean mussel). The record is from RNAcentral. Lineage: Eukaryota; Metazoa; Mollusca; Bivalvia; Mytilida; Mytilidae.
CGGACGGACGGACGGACGACGAAAACAAACGACAAGUAAACAAAUCAAACAUUGGCGGUGCCAGCUUAAUAUUAUAUUAUAGUUCAAUAUGCACUUUUGGAAUUUAAAAAAAUUCGUGCAGCAGAACGUAUACUCGUACUAGCAUAGCUUAUAUGUUAGUAAAUGAAUCUAAACAAAAUAAUAAAAUUCCAGGCCUUUCAAUAGGCAGAUAGACAAUUCGAUGAGUGGGGUUUCCAUUCUGGAUUUUCCUCGAAGUUCAGUAUUCUCGGGAUUUAACUUUUUUCGUAGAUACAAAAUCAGAGAUUUGUUUUCCAGAACCUCACAUAUUGUUACAACACAUCAGUUCAACUUUAGCUGUACUCUGCAUGAGAUUUGGUGCAUUCAUCUUAUAUAUAUGAAAUAUUUGUCACUGGACGCCAAAAACUAACAUCAAUCAAUAUGUGCA